This is a long non-coding RNA of Chelonia mydas (Green sea turtle), 3187 nucleotides long. RefSeq lists it as uncharacterized. The record is from RefSeq and is a predicted model, not a curated record. The transcript is spliced from 4 exons. Lineage: Eukaryota; Metazoa; Chordata; Testudines; Cheloniidae.
AGCAAUGGCUGUUUCUUAGGUGGUUUCUUUGCUAAGACGGUGUCCAAAUGAGCAUUUCCAUUUAUGGGUUGCAGCUUCUCCAUCUCAGAGAGCAGGCGGAGGCGGAGCGUGUAGAAGACACAGAGUUAAGGGGAGAGACCUCAACACCCUGGGCAGCGCAGACUCACGGACGCUUUGCUGGGCAAACACAGACCAUCUGAGUCUCUCUCUGCGCUGGGUCCUGCCCUGCCCAGGUUAAUCAGAUGAGGUGUCCCCAUUUACAAAGCUCUAAGCCACAGGACCCCCCCGCGUCCCUCCCACAGCCCAGGAGUCCUGCCUCCCAGUCUGCAGCUCUAACCCACUAAAUGUGACUCACCUCCCAGAGGCAGGAAUAGAACCCAGGAGUCCUGUCGCCCAGUCUCCAGUGCUGUGACCAUUAGGCCAGUCUGCAGAUCACAGAGGACACCACGCAAACAUGGCCGGGGGUGGCAGUGCCAGUGACGGAGGGGGACAGGGUGCAGUCCCUGACAGAGGCAAUAGCCCAGAGGUCCCUGGUGCAGAGCUGCAGCAUGGCUGUGGGGUAGAGAAGCAGCUCGGUGGCUUGAAGCUUCCUGUGUUACAGUGAGGCUGAGAAGGACCCUGCGCGCUCUCACGAGUCAGGGUGUAGCAGCAGUUCCUGUGACAGGCGGAUGAAUACAAGAGACGGGGUGGGGGUGGGGUGGCUUUUUCCACCUCGUAGCAAUGAGUUCCACUGGCCAGGGAUAGAACCCAGAGCCCUGGUUCCCAGCCCCCCAGCUCCUCUAACCCCCUAGACCCACUCCUCUCCCCCAUCUGAGGCUUGAACCCAGAUAUCCUGAGUCACCCCUCCCCUGCUCUAACCACUAAAGCUGAGGCCUCGACAGGGAGCAAGAGCCCUGCAGUCCAAGGGCUGCAGCGGGGGUCUGGGCAUUGGGGCUUUCCCCACCCUGCCUAGCGCUUCUGCCAGGGAGUGGAGUCGGGCCACGGGUGUUUCCCCCGCCUUGCCCACCCAGUGCUUCCGCCAGGGCUCUGGGAUUUCCACUGGGGUGAGGCAUUCAUUUUUCCAGGGGCCCCCAAUUGUCCAGAGCCCCUGGGCACAGGCCCCGUCAGCCCAUUGGAUAAUCCGCUACUGCCCAGUUGGGCUCCUUAGACCGGUUAGGCACAGAGGGCCGGGUAUGCACAGAAAUGUGGGGUCCAGUGGUCCCCCCUGGGAAAAUACCAACGCCACCCAUCACCCCUUGGAGGGAGUCAUGUGUCCAAAGGAAAUAAAGCUUUGACAGGGCUCUCAAAGAGGCCCGCGCCCCAGAGAUGCAGCUGAGGUGGCUGGCAUGUGUGGCCGGGCUGAUGCCCCGGGGUUGGAUGUGAAAGGACAGGGCUGUUGGACUCAGGGGGCCACUUGCAACCAGGUGCUGCAGACGCUGAGCUGAGAACUGCCCAAGGCCUGGGAGCCCAAGUCCUCCCACAGCAGAUCUGCUAAGGGCGCUCCUGCCACCGGGCCUGCAGAGAAACCUCUUCCUGUCAGAGCCGGCGAGCCCAAGUGCUCUGACAUCCACCCGCCCGCUCGGCUUGGCUUGAAAUUGGCCGUCUCUGAGCAAGGCCCGGGGUGGAGUGAGCGGGGCAAGUUCAGAGGGUCGUGAUCCGGGGCCCUCAGUUAAAGCCGCAUGAAAAGGAGCCGUUCUUAAAUUCUUCACACCGCUCUGAAAACCAGUUGCAGACUCGCAUUGACUUGGAAAGUGGCACCAAGCCGCCGGGGCUCUGCUGGAGACUGCUGGAGCAAAGGGCGGUCGUUCGAUUGUGGAUGUCACAAGAUGCAGCCCCCUGCAUGAUGAGCUGCUGUUAAUACUCACACAUUUCACUGACUUCCCCAUGUGGGGGGCAACUGCCUUGAAAACCGGCACUGAGCAAUGGAGGCAGGGUGGGGUUUGUGAUGCAAAUUUGAGGUCAUUUGGUCCAGAGGUUCCCGCGAUACCCUCCCCGCCCACGUGCUGAUUGAACAUUUUCAGAUGGUUAUAAUGUUCUCAGUGCAGAGUGAGGGGAAAUAGCAAAGAGGCCGAACUUUGAGAAACGUCAAGCCUGGGUGGCCCCUGAGCUCAGCUACGCAAUGGGACCGAGGGGCCAUGCGGCCAUAGUGCAAAAGUGAGUCCACUCCUCAAGCUGUUCGCACCUGUGUUUAAUAGCAGUUCACACCUCUGCGAGGUACGGCUUCCACAAGAAAUUGAGGAUCUGCCAAGGGCGGUCCUGCAGCCAGGCCUACAGAGAAACCUUUUCCUGUCAGAACCGACGCGUCCAAGUGCUCUGAAAUCCACGCGCCCGCUCGGCUUGGCUUGAAAUUGGCCGUCUCUGAGGAAGACCCAGGGCAGACACUCUGAAAACCAGUUGCAGACUCGCAUUGACUUGGAAAGUGGCACCAAGCAGCAGGGGCUCUGCUGGAGUCUGCGGGAGGAAAGAGCGGUCGUUUGAUCAGGGACGUCAGGAGAUGCAGCCCCCUGAAGAUGAGCUGCUGUUAAUAUUCACAAAUUGCACUGAAGCCUCCGUGCAGGGGGCAACUGCCUUGAAAAUCGGCACUGAGCAAUGGAGCGGGGGGUUGUGAUGCAAAUUGGGGGUCCUUUGGUCCAGGAGUUCCCGUGAUACAGGCCCCCCACACACACGUGCUGAUUGAACAUUUUCAGAUGGUUAUAAUGUUCUCAGUGCAGAGUGAGGGGAAAUAGCAAAGAGGCUGAACGUCGAGCCUGGAUGGCCCCUGAGCUCAGCCACGCAAAAGGACCGAGGGCCAGUGCAGCCGUGUAGCAAAAUUGAGUCCACUCCUUGAGCUGUUCACACCUGUGUUUAAUAGCAGUUCACACUUCUGCGAAGUACGGCUUCCAGCGGAAAUUGAGGGUGAGUAACACCCACGCUGAGCUGACACGUGGGGGCUGAGAGACACAGGCACUGCUGUUUUGAUCUCAACAUGGAGAUGUUUGAGUUCCUGUCCCUAUUAUCACCUUUGACUUGGUGUCUUGGUGACUUGGCUGACUUGGGACCACAGAUGGCAUGUAAGUCCUGUGCCAAUAACCGAUUCUUUGGGUCUCUGAACAGCCGAGGUGCGGGGGGGCUCAUUUGGGAUGACCCCAAAUUAUUAUUAUUAGCCAAUGAAAAGGUGUGGGGGGUGGGGAUGGAGAUUGUUUCAGUCUAAAGGAAAUGUUUUUUUUUU